GAUGAAGAACGUAGCGAAAUGCGAUAAGUAAUGUGAAUUGCAGAAUUCAGUGAAUCAUCGAAUCUUUGAACGCACAUUGCGCCCUCUGGUAUUCCGGGGGGCAUGCCUGUUCGAGCGUCAUUAUAACCACUCAAGCUCUCGCUUGGUAUUGGGGUUCGCGGUUCCGCGGCCCCUAAAAUCAGUGGCGGUGCCUGUCGGCUCUACGCGUAGUAAUACUCCUCGCGAGUGAGUCCGGUAGGUCUACUUGCCAGCAACCCCCAAUUUUUACAGGUUGACCUCGGAUCAGGUAGGGAUACCCGCUGAACUUAAGCAUAUCAAUAAGCGGAGGA
RNAcentral lists this unclassified non-coding RNA (329 nucleotides) under soil metagenome. RNAcentral's name for it is "partial contains 5.8S ribosomal RNA, internal transcribed spacer 2, and large subunit ribosomal RNA". The stretch from base 1 to 120 matches the Rfam family "5.8S ribosomal RNA", at positions 35 to 154 of the family's 154-position model. The record is from RNAcentral.